Molecule: ribosomal RNA, 574 nt
Filed under: uncultured bacterium
Lineage: Bacteria
Description: bacterial SSU rRNA
Rfam family: Bacterial small subunit ribosomal RNA
Source: RNAcentral
AAGUCCUUCGGGAUGAGUAAAGUGGCGCACGGGUGAGUAACACGUGGGUAACCUACCCUUAAGACAGGGAUAACCUUUCGAAAGAAGGGCUAAUACCAGAUAAGACCACAGAAAUUGCGAUUUCAGUGGUCAAAGGGAGCUUAUGGUUUCGCUUUUGGAUGGGCCUGCGUCGCAUUAGCUUGAUGGUAGGGUAACGGCCUACCAUGGCUACGAUGCGUAGCUGGUCUGAGAGGACGACCAGCCACACUGGAACUGAAACACGGUCCAGACUCCUACGGGAGGCAGCAGUGGGGAAUAUUGGACAAUGGGGGAAACCCUGAUCCAGCAACGCCGCGUGGGUGAUGAAGGCCUUCGGGUCGUAAAGCCCUGUUGAGGGGGAAGAAGUCUUGAAGUAACGAUUCAAGAUUGACGUUACCCCUUGAGGAAGCACCGGCUAACUCUGUGCCAGCAGCCGCGGUAAUACAGAGGGUGCAAGUGUUGUUCGGAAUUAUUGGGCGUAAAGGGCGCGUAGGCGGUUUGGUCAGUCAGGUGUGAAAGCCCUAGGCUUAACCUAGGAACUGCAUUUGAUACUGCC